UACGUAGGUGGCAAGCGUUGUCCGGAUUUAUUGGGUUUAAAGGGUGCGUAGGUGGUCUAUUAAGUCAGUGCUGAAAUAUCCCGGCUUAACCGGGAGGGAGGCAUUGAUACUGAUGGACUUGAGUAAAGUUGAGGUGGGCGGAAUUGACGGUGUAGCGGUGAAAUGCUUAGAUAUCGUCAAGAACACCUAUUGCGAAGGCAGCUCACUAAGCUUUAACUGACACUGAGGCGCGAAAGUGUGGGGAUCAAACAGG
Molecule: ribosomal RNA, 253 nt
Filed under: uncultured bacterium
Lineage: Bacteria
Description: partial 16S ribosomal RNA
Rfam family: Bacterial small subunit ribosomal RNA
Source: RNAcentral